GAAUUCGAUUACCGCUCAGUAACACGUGGACAACCUACCCUUAGGUCGGGGAUAAACCCGGGAAACUGGGUAUAAUACCCGAUAGAUCUCGACUGCUGGAAUGCAUCGAGAUCGAAAGCUCCGGCGCCUAAGGAUGGGUCUGCGGCCUAUCAGGUAGUAGUGGGUGUAGCGUACCUACUAGCCUACGACGGGUACGGGUUGUGAGAGCAAGAGCCCGGAGAUGGAUUCUGAGACACGAAUCCAGGCCCUACGGGGUGCAGCAGGCGCGAAAACUUUACAAUGCUGGAAACAGCGAUAAGGGGACCUCGAGUGCCAGGUUACAAAUCUGGCUGUCGUGAUGCCUAAAAAGCAUUGCAUAGCAAGGGCCGGGCAAGACCGGUGCCAGCCGCCGCGGUAACACCGGCGGCUCGAGUGGUAACCGUUAUUAUUGGGUCUAAAGGGUCUGUAGCCGGCCGGAUAAGUCUCUUGGGAAAUCCAGCAGCUCAACUGUUGGGCUUUCAGGAGAUACUGUCUGGCUCGAGGCCGGGAGAGGUGAGAGGUACUUCAGGGGUAGGGGUGAAAUCUUGUAAUCCUUGAAGGACCACCAGUGGCGAAGGCGUCUCACCAGAACGGACCUGACGGCAAGGGACGAAAGCUAGGGGCACGAACCGGAUUAGAUACCCGGGUAGUCCUAGCCGUAAACGAUACUCGCUAGGUGUCGGCCACGGUGCGACCGUUGUCGGUGCCGUAGGGAAGCCGUGAAGCGAGCCACCUGGGAAGUACGGCCGCAAGGCUGAAACUUAAAGGAAUU
RNAcentral lists this ribosomal RNA (790 nucleotides) under uncultured archaeon. RNAcentral's name for it is "bacterial SSU rRNA". It matches the Rfam family "Archaeal small subunit ribosomal RNA", at positions 75 to 866 of the family's 1478-position model. The record is from RNAcentral.